RNAcentral lists this unclassified non-coding RNA (329 nucleotides) under fungal sp. RNAcentral describes it as "partial internal transcribed spacer region". The stretch from base 1 to 46 matches the Rfam family "Eukaryotic small subunit ribosomal RNA", at positions 1786 to 1831 of the family's 1831-position model. The record is from RNAcentral. Lineage: Eukaryota; Fungi.
AAGUCGUAACAAGGUUUCCGUAGGUGAACCUGCGGAAGGAUCAUCAUUGAAUCUAUUCUCAAACACACCCUGUGGAUUGUGGUUGGUCGCAUGUCUCCUCUGCACAGAGGGGGUAUAGUUUAUACUCUUUGUGUACGUGUAUGCGGCCGCUACUUUUCACUGCGUUGGAUACGUUAGCUGGCAGGGCCACGGCAGGGUACGGGAGUGCAGUAUGCACUCUCUUGCCCUGCUACCUGUCUGCUCGUGUCCACGGUUUACACACUCAUACAACUACUUAAACAUAUAUAUAUUAAACAAAACAACUUUCAACAAUGGAUCUCUUGGCUCUC